UGUAGUCUGGCAGAAACGUCG
RNAcentral lists this microRNA (21 nucleotides) under Ixodes scapularis (black-legged tick). RNAcentral describes it as "isc-miR-5310". Lineage: Eukaryota; Metazoa; Arthropoda; Arachnida; Ixodida; Ixodidae. The record is from miRBase by way of RNAcentral.